This 555-nucleotide unclassified non-coding RNA is filed under the name plant metagenome. RNAcentral's name for it is "partial contains small subunit ribosomal RNA and internal transcribed spacer 1". The stretch from base 65 to 361 matches the Rfam family "Group I catalytic intron". Rfam says of the family: Group I catalytic introns are large self-splicing ribozymes. The record is from RNAcentral.
AAGUCGUAACAAGGUUUCCUUCCGUAGCACUUACUGAAGCUUUAGCAGCCUGAAAGGGCGAAUGCUAGCGACUAUAAAUAAAUAUGGCGUUCUUAAAUGCUAGUCUCUAUUAUCAGAGGCGACAUUGCCAAAUUGUCGGGGACACCCUAAAGAUCUUGAUACCAAGCUGGCAGUCGAAAGACGCCAGUGGCCGAGCUAACAGCCCUGGGUAUGGUAAUAAUUCAAGAUAUGCAACAAUGGGUAAUCCGCAGCCAAGUCCUAAACUACGCAAGUAGCAUGGAUGCAGUUCACAGGCCAAAUGGUGAUGGGUAGAUUAGCAAAUCUGCUUAAGAUAUGGUCGGUCCCGCUGUGAGAGCAGAUGGGGAAGCUACAUGAAGCAUGUCUCGUUAGUGAGUAUGCAUAAACGUAACUGAAAACGUUCCGUAGGUGAACCUGCGGAAGGAUCAUUACUGAGUAUUUGUCUUUUAUAGACAUCUCUCUAUCCAUAAACUCUUUUUUUUAAAUAAGACAUGAUUUACACAAUUAGUCUGAAUGUUUAUUUAAAAUCUUUCAAAA